This 372-nucleotide ribosomal RNA is filed under the name uncultured eukaryote. RNAcentral's name for it is "partial 18S ribosomal RNA". It matches the Rfam family "Eukaryotic small subunit ribosomal RNA", at positions 592 to 975 of the family's 1831-position model. The record is from RNAcentral.
CAAUAGCGUAUAUUAAAGUUGUUGCAGUUAAAAAGCUCGUAGUUGAAUUUUUGCUUGCCGCCGAUGUCGGAACUUCCGUACGUUCGGCGGCGUGCAUCCUUGGGUGGAACCUGUGUGGCAUUAGGUUGUCGUGCAGGGGAUGCUCAUCGUUUACUGUGAAAAAAUUAGAGUGUUCAAAGCAGGCUUACGCCGUUGAAUAUAUUAGCAUGGAAUAAUAAGAUAGGGCCUUGGUACUAUUUUGUUGGUUUGCGCACCGAGGUAAUGAUUAACAGGGACAGUUGGGGGUAUUCGUAUUCCAUUGUCAGAGGUGAAAUUCUUGGAUUUCUGGAAGACGAACUACUGCGAAAGCAUUUACCAAGGAUGUUUUCAUUA